UUAUAGCAAAUGAUGUCUGGAACAGAAGAGUGGUAUGUAAAAUGAAAGAAUUAGGUAAAAGAAUAAAUGGAGAACGUGGUUUAGAUAAGUUAGGCUUCGAUAGCCCACGUGAUGCUACCAAUCCUCUUCCAUACAAAGGUUGCGAAUUCUGAUAAGAUGUACGAUCUGCUCUGAUGCUAGCUAGAUACAUAUAUAUAUAAUCUCGUAAUCAUUUUUCUCAGUUACACACUGCUUUUCUUUU
Molecule: long non-coding RNA, 241 nt
Filed under: Vigna radiata
Lineage: Eukaryota; Viridiplantae; Streptophyta; Magnoliopsida; Fabales; Fabaceae
Description: long non-coding RNA (VRAD_LNC006983)
Source: RNAcentral